GUGCGGUUCCUUGUGUGUUAAUGUGUUAUUGUAUUGUAUAUUGUAGUUUGUAUGAUUUUUUUUUUCCAUCUUCAGCAAAUAAAGCUGUUUUGAGUUCACGUUCUGCCUGUGGGUCUGCGUUUGAGUCCUGCCUGUUGUGCACAGCCAAAUCAUGACAGUCUACAUCAAGCCUAAUGAUUUCCAGUCACCUUCUCAGAGACAAGUACAGAUGAAAACUAAAGGCUCCACUCCAACAAAUGCAGCAUGCCUGGUGACAAUACUGAAUUCUGGGUAAAAAACUGGAUCAACAGUUGUCUGUGACAGAAGUCAUCCCUCAGUAAAGCUAAUCAAGGAUGAGACAGUGGGUGUGAGGAGGAGGUGGGUGCUGACAGAGAGGUUUGGACAGAUGGACGGACAGACAGGCUGUGCUCUGUCAGCACAGUCUGACAUGAUGAGAAGGGACAGACGAAUGGAAGAACAGAAUUGGAGAAAGAAGUGAAGUGGAGAGAGUAAAGAUGAAGAACCAACACCAGAAGUGAAACUACACACUGAAACACACUAACAGUUCUUUCAGUCCAUCCAAUCCAACUUUUCCUUUUUCAUCUUGUUUGCUUAAUUGACUUUAAAUAAAAUGUAUAUCAAGUCAUGAUGUUAGGGGUAAAUGAUGCGUUUUAUUUCCUGUGACACAGUCUUGUGUUUCUGGUUUAAAAAUAUUUGAAAAUGGGGAAAAACUUGCUUUUGAGA
This is a long non-coding RNA of Oreochromis niloticus (Nile tilapia), 723 nucleotides long. RefSeq lists it as uncharacterized. Lineage: Eukaryota; Metazoa; Chordata; Actinopteri; Cichliformes; Cichlidae. The transcript is spliced from 3 exons. The record is from RefSeq and is a predicted model, not a curated record.